UAAAGGAAGACCUGCCCGUAGAAGGGGCGC
This 30-nucleotide small RNA is filed under the name Bombyx mori (domestic silkworm). Its description in RNAcentral is "ovarian small RNA-18348". The record is from RNAcentral. Lineage: Eukaryota; Metazoa; Arthropoda; Insecta; Lepidoptera; Bombycidae.